UGGGGAAUAUUGCACAAUGGGGGAAACCCUGAUGCAGCGACUCCGCGUGAACGAAGAAGGUAUUCGUAUCGUAAAGUUCUGUCCUAUGGGAAGAUAAUGACAGUACCAUAGAAGAAAGCUCCGUCUAAAUACGUGCCAGCAGCCGCGGUAAUACGUAUGGAGCGAGCGUUGUCCGGAAUUAUUGGGCGUAAAGGGUACGCAGGCGGUUUAAUAAGUCGAAUGUUAAAGAUCGGGGCUCAACCCCGCAAAGCAUUGGAAACUGAUAAACUUGAGUAGUGGAGAGGAAAGUGGAAUUCCUAGUGUAGUGGUGAAAUACGUAGAUAUUAGGAGGAAUACCAGUAGCGAAGGCGACUUUCUGGACACAAACUGACGCUGAGGUACGAAAGCGUGGGGAGCAAACAGG
This 403-nucleotide ribosomal RNA is filed under the name bacterium. Its description in RNAcentral is "partial 16S ribosomal RNA". It matches the Rfam family "Bacterial small subunit ribosomal RNA", at positions 355 to 776 of the family's 1533-position model. The record is from RNAcentral.